UUAAAAAUUGAAACUUUGAAUGGAACUUAUUUAACUUGUUAUUUCACGAAGAAAGUUUCAUUAACGAUUAGAUGCAAAAAUAUUUAUUUUGCCUAUAAUUUUGUCUCAGUGUAUGAGAUUCGAUUUAUGACCGUAUUAAUGAUUAUAUGAUUGAGGGAGUCUUCAACAGAAGCAGGAGACAAUGUGUGCAAAAUGCUUGCUUCACUUUUCAUUAUUUCUUCUUUGCUUGGCCGAUAAUUAGCAUCAUUUGUUUUGAGAUAAUAAAGCUAAAAGAAUAAUAAAGUCUGUUCCAGGCAACCUUGACUUUAUUAACAUUGCGGCAAUGAGCACGCUCCAAUGUGAUUGGUAGAGCUCCAGGACAUGUGACAUCAAGAACAUGGGAGAAGUCACUGUUGCAAUCUGCUAGUCUGGAAAUUGCCUAAAAAAACUGUACGAAGAGUUGAGUAUAAUAUUCAACCUGUUUGUGUUGCUAUAGGUGCGUAACCACAAGCUUGACUGCUGAUUGGAUAGAAUGUUAAAUAACUGCUAUUUUCCUGCGUAGGCACAGUAUUUUAAGAGAGUUUUCACUGCAUGUGUGAUAUAUCUGCAACAAGUUUAUGAGGAAAUAAAAUGA
Long non-coding RNA from Dendronephthya gigantea, 613 nucleotides. RefSeq lists it as uncharacterized. The transcript has 4 exons. The record is from RefSeq and is a predicted model, not a curated record. NCBI's taxonomy places the organism in Eukaryota, Metazoa, Cnidaria, Anthozoa, Malacalcyonacea, Nephtheidae.